UCGUUUGGGCUUUUAUUUACAUUUCAGGCCUAGAAUUGACAUUGGUUUGUUCGUCCUUUUGCUUUGGAGUUUCGAGCGUCUGCCGGCUGACGAAAGUUCCAUAUUUUGAUUCGUAUGGAACUUAAGUAUUAGAUUGAUACCUCCCCGAUUUGAUUCUUUAAAGAUUUCGUCGCCGUUGUUGACGAAAAAGCAAGCGCAUCGACGGUUCGGAAGGGGAGGCGUAGGGCUGCUACUUAUUGAAGAACAGAUUGUCAAUCCACAUCUGCUGUCUCAGAGCAUUGAGAAUCCGAUCUAAGCUGCUGUACAGUUAGUUUAGUACCAAUUAUGGAAGUGAACUUGGGAAGAUUAUGCUUGACACGACGUUUGAGGAACGAGAUUUGCUGAAUGAAAAGACUGUGCCAGGGGAUAUCAUAGCUCCUAAUGGAGUGAGGGUGGUGCUAUGAAAAUGCAAGUGGAAGCUAAACAUAAAAAGAGAGUCCAGGCCAGAUUCUUGAGUCUGAAGGUAAUUAUGCAUUGCUUAUCUUUGCAUGUCUGCUAGAUUUUUGCUUUCCAUUCCCUUAAAUAUUAGGUAAAGCGAAUGUUAUAUGUUGGAUUUAGUGGCUGAAACUCCAAUAUGCCUUUUAUGGUUAUUUUUCUAUCAGCUGAAAUAUAUUUCAGUUUAUCUUCAUUCUUUCAUGCUCUUCAGAUUGUUCAGGACUUAUAAUGAUUUUGAUUGUGUGUUUGUCUACUUAGGCUGUUGCUUUUAAAAUGGUUUUCGUAUAUAUUGAUUCUGGGUUUGAUAUCCUUAUUAUCGUACCGUGCCGAACAAGGAGAGGAGUGUUAAUUGCAGUGAAAAGCCAGAAGAGAGGGAUACCCAGUUAAGAAUUUAAAAGUCUGUAGAAAAGAGGAUGACAAUGGUGGGAAAUUUCAUCAUGAGAGCUUUGUGGAGCAAACUUCUAAUAGCUCAAAUGGAGGUGCAUCAUGAGUAGCAGUAGAGUUUGGACAACUUCUGACGUGGGAACUUAAACGGGAAAUUCAUAUGAUGAUGAUAACGGUGUGGGGAUGAUUGGGAAGCUCUUGCUGAUGUAGUAACAGCUGAAGAAGAGAAUAAAAAAUAUUAUCUCCUCCAUGAGUACGUCAAGGAGCAAUAGAGUUUGGACAACUUCUGAUGUGGGUGAUUCCAAUCUUGACGCAACAUAUAUUGUGGGUGUUAGAGAUAGAAAGCAUGAUUGUUAGAAUACCAUCAAAGAAGGAAAAAGCAGUUGACGAAAUUCUCCAGCAAUCGAUGCCAUUAUUAAGUGCCUCGACAACCAUUAUUUACUGCUUCAGUUAUAAAUGUUUACCGCUUUGCGUUACAUUUUGAUUUAUAUGUCUUUUUGCAUGCAAGUGACCUGUUAAAAAAUAUGAUCUAUAGAUAAUGCACACACUACCUGAUUCAAAGCA
Long non-coding RNA from Brassica napus (rape), 1422 nucleotides. RefSeq lists it as uncharacterized. The transcript is spliced from 3 exons. NCBI's taxonomy places the organism in Eukaryota, Viridiplantae, Streptophyta, Magnoliopsida, Brassicales, Brassicaceae. The record is from RefSeq and is a predicted model, not a curated record.